Molecule: non-coding RNA, 305 nt
Organism: Vigna umbellata (rice bean)
Lineage: Eukaryota; Viridiplantae; Streptophyta; Magnoliopsida; Fabales; Fabaceae
Source: RefSeq, a predicted model, not a curated record
GGAUAAUAUUCAGGUUACAACAGAAUGGAAAUCAGCCUAUUAUAAAACUUUGAAGGAAAUAUCAUGGACAAAAAAGCAAUUUCAGGGUGGACCAGGAAGGAUAACAAUUGUUAUCGAGCUUUUUGCUUCUUCGUUGCUUCCUCGCGCCAUUGCUUCUUUGCUGCUUCCUCACGCCAUUGCUUCUUCUGUGUCGCCACCACUGUUGCUUCGUCGCCGCGGCCGCUGUAGUGCGUCAUUUUAUUUGUGUCGCCUCUAUCAUCGCCGCUUCGCUGCCUUGGUCGCUACCGUCGUAGUCGUUGCUUCCC